CGCGUGAUGAUCUCGCAACUGAGUGUACCUUUUUCGAUUCUGCGGGAACGUGAAACUAGCAACUCGCGGUAGCUGUCGCGUGUGCGGCGGCUGCGUCUGAUGG
RNAcentral lists this unclassified non-coding RNA (103 nucleotides) under Wallacemonas collosoma. Its description in RNAcentral is "C/D box snoRNA B5". Lineage: Eukaryota; Euglenozoa; Kinetoplastea; Trypanosomatida; Trypanosomatidae. The record is from RNAcentral.